RNAcentral lists this long non-coding RNA (34171 nucleotides) under Glycine max (soybean). RNAcentral's name for it is "long non-coding RNA (GMAX_LNC004682)". Lineage: Eukaryota; Viridiplantae; Streptophyta; Magnoliopsida; Fabales; Fabaceae. The record is from RNAcentral.
GGCUCAUUGCCUCUACUCCCCAAUGGUUAUCAAAUUAAGAUACAUAUGCCUGAGCCAGACCAUUAUUUACAUACCCAACAAUCCAAGGAAGAUUCAAUUUUAAACAGCAUCAUGAUAAGUACUACAAUUAGUUUGGUUCAACUUCUUGAGAGCAGCAGUUAGCAUUGUUACAUUAAGUUCAAGCAUCAUUUAGUAAUUCAGAGUAUGGUGUAAUCAGUGAGCAAACAACAGAAUGAAGAAACAACACGGCAUGUCAUUAAAAUAUUCUACUACUUCUAUUUCUAUUUCUAUUUAUUUUGGUCGUUACAAUCUGCGUAACCGGAGAAGAUGCGAGUUUUUGAACCCAAAAUUUGACGUCCUCUUUCCCCAACCUGGAACUCAAAAUCAAAACAAUCCCAAAGAAAAACCCUAAAAGCCAUUCCCUGACGGCUUUCUUCCCCAACCACAACCGAAGCAACGAAAUCCCCGCGAGACAAAACGACAAGGCCCUCAGAAACAGGUCAAACUCUCGAAUCCUCCACGACCACAAGCCACCCGCAACGCAGACCAACACGAAUGCAAACCACGCCGAUUUCUUCUUCGUCAGCCUCCUGUUGGCGGUUAUUUUCCCUCUCCGGCCACCGACGAGAAGGCUCAGAGUCUGGCAAUCGCCGCGCGCGAUUUCGCCGGCGAGGGAGUUGAAGGGCUCCGGCAGGAUCUUGAGAUUGAACGCGACGGUGGAAGCCAGUUGAAGAAUUUUCCGAUUGGAUGGUUGGGACCAGCCGCCGCGCCUCUUAGCGCAGAGGAUUGUGGGAGUUGGAUGAGAUUGCGAAAGGCGAAGAGAAAUAGGAUUGAGGAAGCGAGAAUAGAUGUGGAUUACGGAGAUUGGGAAUGGAAGGGGGUGAUCUGAAAUUGAGAAGGGGUAUUGGGUUGUGCAAAUGUAGGGUUUCACUUUCAACAUUGUGGGGAGUGGUGAGUGGUGACCGUUACAACAGAAGCAAGUUAUAUUUGGAAUGCAUUUGAGCGGAUGGGCCUGCUUCUUCAAUCACACCACCCUCAAUUACUAUUCUAAUUUACUCCUUCCUACCCCAUAAACGGAUUCUCUUCAAAAAAAUUUAUUAUUUAAAAGACUUAACUAUAUUUUUUUUACUAUAUUUUCAAACUUUUAUUUUUGAUAUAUGUCGUUAGUUUGUUAUAUCAUCUUUUAUCUGAAAAGUUAUAAAAAUGUCAUAUAGUAAAAUCAAAAAACUAUUUCUUAGAUAAUAAAUUGAAAAAAAUAUAGUACAGAUAUUAAAAUCAAAAAAAUAUUUCUUAGAUAAUAAAUUGAAAAAAAAAUAUAUUACAGAUAUUAAAAAAUAUAUUUAAGUUUAUUUAAAAUAUUAAAUAUGUACUUUUUAGUUUUAAAGUUGUAAAAGUAAAAGUCAUUUUUUUCAUCAAGUGCUUGCAAUUUUUUUUAACAAUAACGUUAUAAUAAGUGAAUAGUGAUCGUUGUUUCUAGGAUGCUCCCUCCUCUUGAUUGAGCUUGGUUGAGUUUUUUUGCGUUUGAUCUCAUUAUUUUUUUUUGAAUAAUUUUAAAUAUUCCUAAUAAUCUUUGUAUUUGUUAAAUAAAAAUCAAAUGCUUUAUAUGAUUUUAAAAUUUUAAAUACAAGUAGUAUUUUUAUUUAAAAUUUUCUGUAUUUAAAAUAAAUAUUAGGAAAACUUGUAAAACAAAUAUAACAUUUUUCUGUCUUUCUCACAAACCUACAACACAUAGAGCAUUAAAAAAGGUGACAAGCUAGAACAAGUAUCCUGACCGCACAAUCUUGAGGCUAGAAUGAGUUUGAGUUUUGUAGGUUGGGAAUUGGGAUGCGUUAUUAAUUUGAUACAAGCCGCAGGAAACACCUUCUUAAUUGAUGAUGAAGAAGUGUGGUUUUGUAUUUCUCAAUAAGUGGAUGAGAUACAAUGUUGACUAUCUGCUAACCACAUUCCCUCCUUAUCUGUCGUCUACUCUCAAACUCCCCAAUAUUCCAAUUGUUAAAUGAUCUAAAGUGACACCAGAUUGCAAGAGGCCAACAAAUUCACUUCAAUGUCAUAAACACUGCAAUUACAAAUGCACAAACAGCAUUGAUCACAUUAUUAAUUAAGGAACGAUGACACCUUCUACUCUUAAUCUAAUACAGUAAGUAAUAAAUGAAAAGCAGGACAUGUAUGUACACUUUUUGUCUAUAUAUUCUCCACAAUCCAUACUGAACCUCUUCAUAUAAUUUCCACCACUAGUACUGAAUCUCUUUAAGCUAGCUAGGAAAUAUGAAGAAGGGGUUUCAGUUUGCAGGGUAUGAUAAAGCCACCAUAGGAACUAUAACUCUUGACUGUCAAAGUCCCUAUGGAGAGAAGCGUAACCGAUGUGCCCUUCUACCACCUAAUGUUCCUAUUCUUGCUCAUUCCUUAGAACGUACACAACGAAACUGGUAAAUAUAUGGCUCCUUAUUUUUUUCUUGCAUCAGGAUUUUCGAUCUUUUUGUCUUGGGAAAGCCUACGGGAUUUUUAGAUUAAUAGAUUUGGUUCCAUCAAGUGAUAGAUUUAUACUACUGUUCUGAAAGUUAAAGUAUACUACUUAUAAUAAUCAUUCAUCAGAAAAUUAAUUAUUAAAAUUAUACACACUUGCUUUUGUUCAUAUUAUACACUUACUUUUGUUCAUAUUAUUAUUAUAAGAUUCAAUUAACUAAAGAAAUUGAUUAAUUUUAUUAAGAGCAUUUAAUUUGUUCUAAAUUAGUAUUUUUUUUAAAUUAUCCUUGUAAACAAAAUUAAUAAGAGUAAAUUACACCUAUAUCUAUCUUUCUGUAUUUUUUUAAUUACACUCUAACACUCUUCAUUUUUUUACACCGUACAUAAAAUUUCUUAAUUGUUUAUCUUACAUUACAUUAGAACUCCUCUCUUCUAAAUAUCAUUUAAUAAUUGAAUAGAAAGUAGACACGUACUAGUCACGUGACUUACUUUUAGUAAAAAUUUGUCUAAAAUAUUAUCAUUUUCUUUCUAAAAUGCUGGUUGACUUUCUCAAUUAUGCAUGUGAGUUGACUCGUUUAUUUGAUGCAGGAUUGCUAGGUCAAAUUCCCCUACUGAUAUAAUUAUACAAGUUGGUGAUUCUAGCUUUCACUUGCACAAGGUGGGCCAAUCACUCCUUUAAUUCUAUGGGAAAAUUGUAUAUUUACUCUUGAUCCUCUUGUUCCUAUAGCUGCAAAUCAUGCUACUAUUCUAAAGUAAAAAAUGUUUCAUUAAAUAUUCUUAAAAUUCUAACUGCGUAAGAUGUGGUUGAUUUCCAGCUUGCAAUUGCCUCAAGAAGCGAAUAUUUGAACCGGCUUGUAUUUCAGAGGGGAAGCAACAGAGAAAAAGCUGGUGACAGCCUCAUCAUCCAAAUGAAAAAUCUUCCAGGUGGUAAAAAAACUUUUGAAUUAGUAGUCAAAUUCUGUUAUGGAAGAAAAAUUGAUAUUACCGCAGCCAACAUUGUUCCAUUGUAUUGUGCUGCACAUUUCUUGGAAAUGAGUGAAGAUGUUGAAGAAGGAAAUCUCAUAUCCAAAACAGAAUCAUUUCUAACCUUUCUAAUACUAUCUUCAUGGAAAGACACAUUUCGAAUACUUAAAAGCAGUGAAUCCAUUUCCCCUUGGGCCAAGGACUUACAUAUAGUGAAACGCUGCUCAGAAGCAAUAGCCUGGAAACUGUGCACAAAUCCAAAUGCAUCUAGUUUCACUUGUGAAAGUGAAACACCCUUAAGUAAUAAUAGUGUUGAUAAUUGGUGGUUCGAAGAUGUAUCAUGUCUACGUAUAGAUCAUUUUAUUGAAGUGAUUCAAUCAAUUAGAAAACGAGGAACCAAACCUGAGCUUGUAGGUUCUUGCAUAGAACAUUGGACAAGAAAAUGGUUUUCCCAAGUCACAUUUGGACUUGAUAAGGAGACUCCUAUACCCAUAACUCUCCAGUUGCAUAGAAUUUCAACUGAGUGCUUGAUUAGCAUACUUCCUAGUGAAGAAAAUUCAGUUACUUGCAAUUUUUUGCUUCACCUAAUAAAGGCAGGGGUGAUGCUGAAGAUAAAUUCUGAGUUGUUGUGUGUGCUAGAAAGAAGGGUUGCUUUAAUGUUGGAGAAAUGUCGUGUUCCUGAUCUCUUGGUUAAAAAUCAAGGAGAUAAAGAUUCUUUGUAUGAUGUUAGUGUGGUACUUAGGGUGUUACGGUUUUAUGUCUGUGGCAUGUCAAGUAAUCAAUCAGCAAAACCCCACAGUGUUGGAAGGUUAGUUGAUGGGUAUCUCACACAAGUUGCACGGGAUGAGAAUCUCACAAUGGAGAGUUUCAAAUCACUUGUUGAAGCAUUGCCUCAAAAAGCCAGACACUGUGAUGACAACCUCUAUAGAGCCAUUGACAUGUACCUUAAGGUAAUAGUGAUGUUAUAUCAUUUCUAAUUCUAAAUCUAACUCUAAAUAUUAACUUUAAUAGAUUGGUCAUCUUGUUUUGCAUAACUCUUAGACUUAAUCCAAUUUUGCAGGCACAUCCAAAUUUGGCAGAAGAAGAUAGAACAGAUGCUUGUAGAGUCCUAGAAUACCAUAGAUUGUCGCACGAAGCACGUCAGCAUGUGAUGCAAAACGAUAGGUUGCCAUUGAAAUUAACUACAGAGUUUGUCCUUUUAGAGCAAGUGAACAUGGCAACCUCAAUGACAAGUAAUGGAUCAAACUACCGAAGGACAAAUGCUCAGACAAUCAUCAGAGUGAACAAGGAUAUGGAAAAAAGACAAAUAACAAAUGCCCAGGAGAUAAGCAUGAUGAAAAAAGACGUUGAAAUGAUAAAGUCACAACUAUUGGAAGUAUAUAGCUGCAAAAUGAAGCUCCAAAACCAACUGAAGAGAUGUAUUCGUUGAAAGAGAGUUAGUUCAUUAUGUAAAAACUCUUGUGUAGUAGGAUCUUCCCUCCUUACUGUGAUAGUAAUGUAAGAAAUUUGAACGAAAUAGCUAUCUGCCUCCUAUCCUAUUGAAACAGAAUUGUUUAAAAUAUGUCAUAUGUCUCAUUUAACUAGUCCUCCUCCGGUUAAACUACUUACCACUGCAUUUCAACCCCAUCCCUUUAUCAUGUACCGGGUAAUAAGUCUCAACUCUUAAGUCAAACUAAUGAAACUAUGGACAUUUAAAUGGCAAUAUUUAAAUUUGAGGAAACGAUUUACAUUUAUAGUUGUAAAUGAGUUUUCAUUCAAUAUAACCUUUUUAAUUAAAUGAAUGGGUAAAAUUAUUUUAUAUUACCAAUACAAAUAUAUUAUACUAACAUGAACUGAAUAUUAUUCAACAUAAGUAAAACAACUGAGUAUGUUGUAAGUAUGCUAAAAGUUUUAACUUCUAAUUAAGUGUUUCAUUUUAAUUUUUCAUAAGGAUAAUUAGAUGGAAUAACAUAAAUGAAAAAUAAAAAAUCAUAUACAAGUUUUAAAAUAAUGAUUAAAAAUCAAUUAUCAUUAGAUAAUACUCCAAUAAUUAAGUAUUCGUACCUGUUAUAAAACCUGAAGUGCAUGUAUAUAUAUAAAUCUGAAGGGUGACGCAGCAGAGGGAAAAUAAGCCUGGAAACGAUGGAAGAUGAUGACGCAGCGAUUGAGGUGAGGAACCAUGUUUCCCCAGAGCCAGAGGUGGAGGAUUCCAGUUGCUGUUGCCCAAUUUGCUUGGGACCAUUCCUUCAACUUUCCUACCUCGACAAAUGUUUUCGUAUGCCCUCACCCUAUUUUCUGUGUUUCUUAAUCGUAAAGUUUAUAAGUUUGUUGCAUAUGCUAUAGACCCUUUAUUGGGUUUCAUUCAUGAUUUGGGUUGGAUGCUCUAAGUUGUAGUCUUGGGAAACCUUUUAGUUUGAAAGUAACUUUCGGUAAUUAUAUAUCAAGACAAGAUUUGUUUUAUUAGGAUCAUUACUUGAGAGUUCAGAUUUAAGCAGCAACUAGAGGUAGGUAAAUGUACCAUAUCAUUCAUGCUGCUAUAUGUUUUUCCUAGUAACCGUUAAGCUUGUUCUUCUGUUGCAGAUAAGUUUUGCUUCAAUUGCAUUUUACGCUGGACCAAGGUGGUUGCUAGCAAGCACCGUUCUCCACCUUCUUCUGUAAAAUGCCCCCUCUGUAAGGUUUGGUUAACACCAUGACUUUUUCUUUUUUUUCGCAUUGUUAAUUUUUUAAUUGUUAUUAUUAUUGUUGUUGUUGUUUUGCCACAUGGACUUUGUUGAAAUAUAAAAUUUCCCCUCAAUGAUACACCCCUUUAAAACAAUUUCAAUUAUGACUCUCUUAAGUUCUCUCAAUUUACUGCUCCCAUCUGAAUGUUUCUUAUGGAUGUCAAUAUUUGCAAAACAGUAAGGGUGAUGAUGAUUUAUGAUAAAUCAACUGGGGGAAUGGCAGUAGAAAUUAGUAUCAAGCUGGAUAAAUGAGCUACUGACUUCGUAGUUUAUGUCUAAUUUGCAGACCGAAAAUUUUUCUAUCAUAUAUGUAGUUGAUGGGAGUUGUUUUCAACGUCAUUAUGUAAAUCAAGAUUUUGAGAAUAGGUUUGUCUCAGUUUUAUUUAAGUUAAAAUUUUCAGUAGAAUUAUCUUUUUAUACUUUGCUCUUUUGUUUGUGUGUGCAGUUUUAUCUUAUCAAGAGCUCACAGAUAUAGAGUACAAUGCUAUUACACUGAACAAGGUGUUCUACUGCCUUCCGUUUAACAAAUUUCUUGCUUUAUAGUGGCGUCUGCCUGUCCUGUCCUUUGCUUUGUGUCAAAUAUUUGUUAUUGGUAUUUUAUUUACUUUACUUUUUUCUUUUAACUUUGUGUGAGCAGGUUUUGUAGAUGACAUAUUCAAUAUAUCACAAUAUUGGAGAUCUCAAAAGUACUAUCAGCCAAACUGCUGGCUUCAAAGUUGGUUAAGAAGAGAAAUUCAAGCUCUUAUCCAGGUUAGUGAAUUUAUCAGGUUAGUUGCUGUUUGGUGCAUUAUCUCUCAGGUUUUGCAACUGGAAAAAUAUCCAAUAACAUAAUGUGCUUUAUCUGUUACUGUAUAUUGAUUCACAUUUUCUUUAGUGCUACUGUAUGUAUGUAUGUGUGUGCCUAAUUAUAGGUGGAAUUUCUGAUUAUUCCAUCUCCUGCUCUCUCUCUCUCUUAAUUAGUAUAUCUUUUGCUGAAUCUGUAGGAGGAGGAUGUUGACAUCAUUGUGCACCAUAUCCUUGCUGUGGUCAAAGCAGCAUUAUGGACUAGGUAAGUUUCUUCAUGCAUUUCAAGUUGCCUUAACAUAAUGAGUAUGAAAAGGAUGGUUACUAUUAACUCUCAAACUUGCAGGAGAGAGCAGAAGUCACACAUGAAUGCACCUGAAAAGAAACAGGAGGAGUUCAAGAUGCCAGUCUCUGAAGCCGCAAGGCCUUUUCUGGCAGCAAGAACGGACAGAUUUAUAUAUGAGAUUCAACUAUUUCUUGCUUCAGGAAUGAAUAUUGAAGCUUAUGAUGCUGUUUACAUACAACGGUUAGGUUGGAGCUCACCUGGGGUAAACACUGAGGUUUCUCAAAGUGAAUUAGUUGAUCGUGCAACUGUGAUUCCAUACCUGUACCUAUUUGAUGGUGACUUUGAUGAAAAUGAGUAAAUUCUUUGUGCUGGUUUUCUCAUGUAUUUGCUUUAAUUGCUACCCGAGUAGCAUUGGAGAAAUUUCUUCACACAUCAAUGAGUGCUAUUGAUCCUUUCCGGUUACUGCAGAAGGUGCAAAUUCUCCACCCAAGGGUGUAAAGUUGUUUAACAUAUGUUUGUUUGUUUUUAAAAUAAUUUCAUGGUCUAGAUUUUAUGCAAUUGUGACAACACGGCAGAGGAUCCUUUUCAACGUUAAUAGCCUGAUUAUUUAAGCUCUUAUACAUUUGCCCACUUUCAAAAAUAAAUAAAUAAACAAAGCAUUUUCUCAUUUUUUUUUUUAAUUUGAUUUAAUGUAUCACAUAUUGUGUGAUCCAAUAGAGUUUCAAACUUGUAAUCGUAUUUGUCUCCACGACACAGCAUAAAUAAAUAAAACAAAAAAGAAGAAAAGCUGACUGCUGGAAACACCGGAAAACAACAGCAAAUGAUACUCCGGAUAGGAGUAAAUAAAUUAAUAAAUGACGAAUGAAGGAUGCGAGAAAUUUAAAAUGAAGUGAAUAAAAUCCGUUGGUUGGAGAGAAAACUCACUGUUGGAAAAACUAAGAAAAAGGGUGGACGAUAGAAGAGAAGUAAAACAUGCGAAAAAUGAAAAAUAAAAUAAAAUGGUUGAAGAUAAGACAAUAAGAUUGUCGGACAAGCUUAAAAGCAGCAAAAGUAGAAAAGGAGUAAAAAAAAAAAAUGAAUGAAAGAAUGUUAUGAAAAUUGAAAAAUAAAAUAUAAUAUAUAGUUGGUUCGUAGAAGUGUAGAACACAAAUUUGACAGGGUGUUGUGUGAGUGAUAUUUGGAUUGGCCAAUCAAAGUUUGAAGUUAGCCUUAUCUUUUUCUUUUAAGUAUCUUAUGGGUAAAAUAAAUUACUGUGAAAUUUAUACUGAAAUGAGUUACUCUUCAAUCAUUGAUAUUUCUAUUAGCAUCAUCAUCCAUUAGUGGUUUGAAAACGUUAGACAGGAGCUUUACAACAGGCAUGGAGACAGCCUCAGACUAUGGAGCAUUCAUGGAGAAAUUCACUUUACCACCAAAUUCUGCACCCUCUCUUCCUCUUAAUUCACUCACCUUUGCAGUCAAAGAGAUGUAUGUACUUUUCUUUUUGCACCACAAUAUUCUGAUUGUUUCAAAAUUCUCCUUUGCUGACCUCAAAGUCAGUUAGACUUUGAAUCCAUGCUUAUGCACCUUGAACUUGAAGGAAGUGUUUGUGUCAAACAGUUUUGACGUGGAAGGAUAUGUGACCGGUUUCGGUAAUCCUGACUGGGCAAGGACUCAUACAGUGGCUACCUCUACUGCUCCAACAGUUUUGGCUCUCCUCAGAGCAGGUGCCACUUGUGUUGGUAAAACUGUCAUGGAUGAAAUGGCUUACAGGUUUGGUUUUCUUUGCUCAUUUUUUUCACUCAUUUAAAGAACCAUGAAGUUUUUUCUAUAGUCCUAACUCCUAAGCAUUAUUUUUAAGUUUCUAGGGACCAUCUUUAUGACUAAAUGAAAUUUAAUGUGAAAACGGAAAAAGAGUGAUAAUAUAUUACUAUGAUCAUUGUCAUGUAAAUUGUGGCUUGUUAGGCUAAAUCUUAUAGUUGGAAGUAAUAUAACUUUCGUAACUUUCAGUCAGUCAGUAGAUUAUAUGGAAAUGACAAGGCUCCUCAAUGAUUAUUUUGUCUCUAUAAAGUAUUUGCGUAAGGGUGUAUCUACCCUUAAAAUUUAGUGUGUUAAGACCACGAUGCAGUUUAAUAAUUAAAUGGAUACUUGCUCAGUUUAGCUCACUUUGGUGGAGCUCUCUCUACGGAAAAUGUGACUAUGAGCAUUAGUAUUUAUUUGUAGUCAGACAUGUGCAUAUUUUGAAUACCUUAUUUCUAUUCCUCACAUAACGAAGUAUUAUAAUCUGGCAGUAUAAAUGGAGAGAAUAUACAUUAUGGAACACCUAGAAAUCCUUGUGCACCUGACCGGGUUCCUGGAGGAUCUUCUAGUGGCUCUGCUGUUGCAGUUGGUGCUGAGCUUGUGGACUUCUCAUUAGGUGAUCUAUUGUUCCAUUCCAUUAGUUAUUUUUGGCACCACUUUGUUAAUAAUUUCGAGUCAUGUUAUGUUUUUCCUUAAUAUUGAGCUAUUUUCCCAUUCCAAUGAGUUUAAUUUUGGCAUCACUUUGUUAAUAAUUUGAACUGUUUUUUCAAUCUUAGGAACCGAUACUGGAGGAAGUGUAAGAGUGCCUGCAUCAUACUGUGGGAUUUUUGGUUUUCGCCCUUCUCAUGGUGCUAUCUCAGAAUCAGGAGUUAUCCCUAUGUCGCAAAGUUUUGACACCGUGGGUAAAUAAUCCAUUACCUUGACGACUAUGUUAACUCUUCAUUUUUGGGUGAAUGCAUCACUACAAAGGAUAGUGCAUAACACAAACACAUCAAUAUGUAAAUAUUUAUCUUCACGGUUCUAAUGUGCUUCCAUUUCAUGUUUUUCUCUAGUUAUCUGGUUAAAAAGGUAUUUAUGAUCUUUAGCAAGAUACGGUUUGCUAUGAAUUUUUCUCCAAAUUUUAGGUCUGAAUUUUCCCUUUGUAGAUUUCAUCUCCUAGUGGUAUGUUGUACAAGUAGUGGUCUUAAAAUUAUAGCUCCACAAGCUGUUGAGAGCCCUUCUUCUCUAGACUUAUUUUCUUGUUUCCAUUUUUAUAUCUAGGAUGGUUUGCCAGGGAUCCAAUGAUUUUGAGCAGAGUAGGAGGUGUAAUUCUACAAUUGCCAGAUGUAGCACCACCAAUUAGACCUACUUGCAUUAUCAUUGCAGAGGACUGUUUCCAGCUUUCGAGCACUCCAUUUGAUGUAGUUACAGGAACUGUCAUCCAAGCGGUAGAGAAGUUAUAUGGAGGUGAACAGUUGAUGUUGCUACCAAUUCAAUGUUCUUGUUUGUUAAUUAUAAAAACAAAAGAUUUCAAGAUUUAAGUUCUAAAUUGUGAAGAAUUCUUGUUCAUCCUAAUAAUGAUGUAUGAUAUGUAUUUUGGAACAAUUUGAUUUUACCAAGUGAGAAGGUCUUAUUGUUGCAUCCACCAUUGUAGGGGAUGUAUUGAAGCAUGAAAUCCUUGGAGACUAUGUGAAGACCAAUGUUCCAAGUUUGAAACAUUUCAUGAGUAAAGAGAAUACAGACCAAAUAUAUAGCAUUCCAUCACUGGCUGCACUUUCAAGUGCCAUGCGGUUGCUUCAAAGGUGUAGCUCACCAUUUAAUCCCUAGCUUUCAGGAAAGAUAAUUGUAAUUUUCUAGCAGGUCGUGUAUUGCCUUCAAUUAAAAUGUGAUUCUUGCUUUAUUUAUCAUUUGUAAUGUAGGUAUGAAUUCAAGAAUAAUCAUGGUGAAUGGAUCAGUGCAGUUAAACCAGAUUUAGGUCCUGGAAUAUCAGAACGUGUAUCAGAUGCCUUAAGGACAACAGGGGAGAACAUUGAUAUCUGUUAUUCUAUAAAAAAGGAACUACACGAUGCUCUUGCGGCUCUUCUUGGGGUAUUCUUUCUCUCUCACGUAUAAGGCAUGCACACAGACCAUAGUACAAUCUUUGAAAUCCCCAUAACCUACUGAUAAACAACAUAUUUCAACAGACAAACAUAUUAUUAUAGUGAUAUGUUCAUCAGACCAUGUAUAUGUGCGUAUAUGCACAAAUCAUUCCUCCUGACUUAGAUUCUCUCCUUGGUCUUCAUAAAAGGAAACCUCCUAUAUUUCUGGCCAUGGAGAAAUAAUGUGCAGACAUGCUUGUUACUUAUCAUAUAUCAAUCUUACUUUUGAAGAAACUAUUUGAGACCCUUCUGGUUUGUAUCAACAAGAAUCACACACGAGUAGAUUUGAUACAAUCAAAACCUCUAGUAAAAUACCCAUCCAUAACCCAGCAGGCAGAUAAAGUACAUUAAAUAAUCCGUUUUAGGGGAUCUUUCCAAACUGGCACCAGACUUUCCAAACUGGAAUGUCUAUUAUUGAUAUAGGGGAUCUUUCAACUUACAUUUCAGCAAGCCUUUUCAUUUGUCAAAAGUAACAACUACACUGUACUUUUAUUUUUCAUCAUCUAGCUUGACUAUGCUUGUUUUCGAAACAAUCUAAUUCCACAAAUGAAGAUUAUAGAUUCUCCCUAUGAAUCUCCUUUGUAAAGAUAAAAGUAGUAUCAUCACUAAGCAACCAAUUUAUGUUUAUAAGCUUGCCUUUUGUUUAAGUUAGCGUGACAGUUCUGUGUUUGAAAAAUUUCAGGAUUUUGGAGCUCUCAUGAUCCCCACAGUUCCAGGGCCUCCCCCAAAACUACAAACAAAUACAUCUGACUUGGAAAUUUUUCGUGCAAGGGCUUUUAGCCUGCUGUCCAUUGCUGGAGUUUCUGGAUUUUGUCAGGUUGUCCCUUUCUUUGUGUUUUUAUGAAGCACUUAGAUUCCUCUAUUUUCCUUAAUUUAGUAAACUUCAGUUUAAAAUUGUCAUAUACCAAUGUAGUUUCCCUGACAUUCUGUAGGUAAGCAUACCACUAGGGAUGUAUAAUAACCUUCCCCUAUCAAUUUCUCUGGUGGCCAGACAUGGUGCAGAUAGAUUUUUACUUCACCUUGUUGAGAGUCUUUAUGACAGCAUUAAAGAUAGAAAGCAGCAUAUCACAGAGCACAAACUUUAAUCUGACUGCAAGGAUGUAGAUGUAAGUUCUAUAUUUCUAACAAAAUCAGGGCAAAGAAAUUUAUGGAAGCUUUGAGAUCCUAUGAGAAACAAUACAAAUAUUUUAGUCCCUCCUUUUAUGUGCUUGGUCGAUUACUUUUGUGACUAGUGAGCAAAAUUUCUGUUUCUUUCUGUCUACUCAUUCAUUUUCUAUCUACCCAUCUUUUACAGAUGCUUUGAGUAUAUAUGCCAAAGGUGGGAGAGAAGCACAACCUGAAUUAUAUGGACACAAAUCAAAGGAGGGAUAUAGUAUGAAGGAAAUUCUUGCUUAUCUGAAUCCUGUUUCUCUCAGAUAUUAUAGAGUUCAAUUAUUCAUUAGGUCAUAUCAUUCUGAUUAUGCUAGCUUGGCUAUGAAAUCAAAAAGUCACAUUGAAAUUUAUACUAUAGUACUUCAAUAUUACCUUUGUACUAUCGAAGAUUGUACAGCUGCUUUCAAAAUAUUUAUAGAUAGUUUCAAAAUACUAACAGAGGACCCUUUUUUUUGUUUCAUGCGUUAGAUUUUUUUUUUAUCAAUGAAAAAAAAUAUUAAAGAAAUUUAUUAAAUAAAAAAUGUAAUAUUAACUAGAUUAAAUAACGGAUGAAAAAUGAACUGCGAUGGUAAAAGCAGCGGAUUGCAACAAUGGUUGUGUCUUGUGGAAUCAAUGUCUGCUGCAAAGGGAUCAUGCUACGAUUUAAACUAUUCUUCGAACAACAUUGAAGUACAAGUUUGCUUCCAAAUUAACAAUAUAUUCUAACUAUAUACUUAACAAUGCUUCCAACUUCUAUCCUUAUCGAUUACUAUCUUGUUUUUCUUGUGUUUUGAAGGCUUUCAAUUCUAUCCCUGAUUUCUUCUUAUCACUCAGGAUCUUAAAGAUUAUGCGUGCCGUUUAACUAUGGAGCCUUUGAUAUCUUUGCGUAGAUAUUGGUUUCAUUCGAUUUAGUAGAAGGUAACACGCACCUCCAUUCUAUACCAAGAGAUAUUUAAAGUUUAAACCUUAUACAUACCGAUCUUUAUUAUAUACUUUUACUUGUUUACAUAUAUUUGGCUACAAAAGACACAUUUUCUUAGGCUAAUAACUCGUACAUUCAAAAGUGGAUAAUCCUCCAAGCCCCACCUCUAACAGUGCAGAGAGGACCUGAGUGAGUUAGCCAUGCAUUAAAACACAUCGUAAAACAUUCACACAAAACGUAACACUGGCCUACUACUCUCGCCACAUAUAUUCAUCCCGAAUAUCAUCAUCACCAACGGUUUAACCAUUCACAACGGUUCCACCUGAAAAAAAAAAUGUCCAUGCUAAUUAGUAAAUUAACUAGAGUACUAAUGUGCAUAUUAGAUAUGGUUGCGGUGAAAAACAUUAUGAUAUCAAUUAGUCUUACCAUUGGGGUGAAGGACUUGUCCAGUUAUGUAAGAGGAGCAUUGGUUGGAAGCAAGAAAAACAUAGGAAGGAGCAACCUCAAUAGGUUGACCAGCUCUCUUCAUUGGGACCUGCGCUCCAAAUUGGGCCGUUUCUUCCUCCUUGAAAGAGGCUGGUAUCAAAGGGGUCCAAAUGGGCCCUGGAGCCACCCCAUUAACCCGAAUUCCCUUACUCACCAGCUGAAGGGCAAGACCCCUUGUAUAGGCCACAAUUGCCCCCUUGGUGGACGUGUAGUCCAAUAGUUUCGCAUGUCCCUUGUAUGCAUUCACUGAUGUCGUGUUGAUAAUGCUGCUUCCUUCCUUCAUGUGCUUCAAGGCAUGCCUACACAAUUUAUAACAUUUCAUUUCUCCUUAGACAUACAUAUACAUCAUAUAUAUCUCUCUUCAAAAGACUCUUUCGAAAAACUCUUUUAUGAUGGAUUAAAAUUUAUGAUUUUUGUGGCUUCUAUGUCUAAAUCAGGGGAUAUAAUUAUUAUUUGUAUGGAUUUCAUAAAAAGUGGCGCUAGCAUCUCUCUUAUAUGAUUUUACCUCGCCAUGAAGAAAUAGGAGAAGAUAUUUGUACGAAAGACCCUCUCAAGCCUAGGCUCGUCUAUGUCCUCCACGGUUCCACACUCGUACUGCUCAGCUGCAUUGUUGACCAGAAUGUCAAUACGACCAUAAGCACUCACGACCUCAUCAACCACCCUCUUGCAGUUCUCAUCGUAACCCAAAUCAGAUGGUAUUGCCAUUGGAUCCUUGGCAUCCGAAGUCUUUGCUCUCUUGAUCAUUUCCAAUGUGUCCCUCGCGUCCUUGUCCUCAUGCCCCUUCACAUACGUGAAGGCCACGGUAGCACCUUCUAAGGCAAACAAGUUACACACCGCUCGUCCAAUCCCAGAAUCACCCCCAGUGACUAAUGCAAUCUUCCCCUGAAAAUUAACACACAACACAAGAAAAUAAAAAUUAAAAUUGUGAAGGCUUAAUUGGCACGAAUUAAUCAAAAUGCAACUUGGACCAAUGUCUUCUAAAGAACUACCAACUUAACAGAAACUAAAAAUAUAAGGUAAGUUUUAAUGGAUGUAAUAGUAUAUAUAUAUAUACUUGAAGUUUAUUUGAAGGCUUGUAGUCAGGGCUAGUGAAUUGGGGUACUGGAGUCAUAGCAUGCUCCUUCCCAGGCUGUGUUUGUUGUUGUUGAGGAGGGAAUUUCUGUUCACCGGAAGCCAUUCUUACAAACAAGCUUUUGGGAACAGAUAUGGAGAUCUUGUCUAGAACAAAUGUUGUUGGAAAGUAAUGUGUGGAAAUGCUGCUUAUUAUAGAUCUCGGUGUGCGGUUAACAUGUGGUACGUAGAGGAACUACUUGAACUUGGCAGCACGUGGGGGUGAUGUGUUUGAUUAUAAAGGAUUUGAAUUUGAAUAUGCCACGCGGUGAGGGGUGGCAGAAGGAGCUGUUGACGUGUCCUGCUAUUCGCAUGCACUGGAUCCGUCUUUGGAAACGGACAUUCUCGACCAACACAAGCUUUUGCUUUUGCCUGCAUCUUCCCUAAUCCCUUCUAUAUUUUUAAUCAGACACUUUCAUUUUUAUAUUAUUAGUUAUAAAUUAUAUUUGUGAUAAAUGCUUUAAAAAUAGUAUUUAAGGUUGUCGUUAACAAAUUCAUUAGCCGAAAUAAUUCGAUCUUCUCCUUCAUCUAGUGUUAUAUGAUCUCCGAUUUCCUUUUUCAGUACACAGUGAAAGUACCUAUCAAAAAACUUUAAAUCAAAUCAAUUAAGUUAGAGAUGUUUAUGUGUAUGAGAAUGAAUAAGAUGUACAUUUUCUUUUCUCUAUCUGAGUAUAUGAGUUAAGGGAGGAGGUUACAACUCAGUAACUGCUCCUCAUCAGUAUGUGCUAUACUCCUUUAGUGGGGAUCAUGGGUUUGGUCUUGCUCGAGUAUAUGACAUGUGUGUUGAGUACCUAUCGAGUUUAUGACCUGUAGGUUAUAGGUGUUUCUUUUUUAAUUAGAUAGUAUUUGAUUCAAUUUUUUAUGUUUAUUUUAUUUUUUAAAAAAAAGAAAUGUCGAAUCAAACAAUUUUUAUAUAACAAUUCUUAACUAAAAAUAAAUAGCUUAUGUUUAGAAGAAAUUAUGAGAGUAAUGAAGUUUUAGAAAAGUUAAUUGGAUAAACUAUCUAAACUUUUGGAGAGUUUAUGAGGAGCUUUUUUUUUUUUUUUACGUUUAAAUCGUAUGUAACUAGGCAUCUAUAUUUUGUUACUUUUUUUUAUUAUCGUAUAUUUAUAUUUUUUUUAUUAUAUUGCGUUCCAUUUCUCAUCUUAUUAAAUGCUCAUUUUUUUUUUAAUUUGAUCGUAGUUUGUUCACCACUCCUACAUGCAGUAUAAGCAAAGAUGAAAUCUUCUACAAAUCAUUGCAUGUUUAAAGCUACCUCUGGAUAGAGCUCAUGCUCAUUUCUUCUUUCUCUUCUUUAAAUGUCCAUUUAAUUUGUUUUGCACCAAUAUUUAAUUUUAAAAACUGCUGGCUGUGGGACCCACGCGCACUUAUGUGCAGAAAGAUCCCCUUAACCUCUCGGGCAAACCAGCUGGAUUAUCCGAAAACUACCUUAAUUAAAGAUGACUGAUGUAUUUUUUUUUUAAAGAGAAAUGAUAUACAGAUAAUUGUGUUCUUCGGAUUUAUUACUUAUAAAAAUAAUUAUUCAUGCUAAGAAAGUUACUUAAUAUUAUUUAAUUUUAUUAAUCCUUAUUAAAAAUGAACCUAACUAAAACAUGAAAGACUAUUUUGAUUUUUUUUUUAAAUAUAAAAGACCAUUCUGAACAAAAUUAAAGAUAGGAAUGACCAUUGUAAACCUUGUUUGAUCCCACGAAGUUCACGUUAUGUCACGUUUAGUAAUUGACGAUAAAGAUUAGUUUGAAGUUAUUCCUAAACGUUAAGGAACUAAAAUAAAACUUCUAAAUUGUAAAAGAUUAAACUGAACAGAAAUAAAACAUAAAAUAUUAAAUAUAUGUAUUUUAGCCUUUUAUUUAUAUAUAUUAAUUGAUUCUCCAAUGAAAAUUGACCAGUACAGGGAAAAAAAUUAAGUAUAUUAUAAUGUGCAUUGAUAUGAUUUAAAUAUUCUAAGUAUAUUAUAUAUUUUUCUUCAUUGUCCAAGUAAUAAAAUGAAAAUUUUAAAAUCAUUAUAACGAUGUUUUCUAAAUACUUGCUAUUAAAGUUAAUGGUAUCUUUUUUUUUUUUUUUUUUGCUGACAAAGUUAAUGGUAUCAUCACACUAGCUUAAAUACUUGUUGAUUGUCCAAGUAAAGGGAAAAAAAUGAAAAUUUUAAAAUCAUUAUAAUGAUGUUUUGUAAAAUAUUUGCGAUUAAAGUUGAUGGUAUAUAUCGGCAUACUAACUGAAAUGUGCAAAUGUAAGAAGUGCGAAAAAUAAAAUUAAAGCAAAAAUUAGCCAAUUUUUAGACAAAAAAAAAGAAACAGAAAAUAUGUCUAUUCUGAAUUCUGAUGAAAUUAAACUAACUUUUUCAAAUCAUCGAUUCUUUUCUUGCUCAUUCUACUUUUCCCAGAAGCAAACAGAAUAAUGGUGCAGAAGUCCCCCUCUUUACAAGCAAGGUACAAAAAAAGUGAGGAGGAUCUCCCUCUAAUGAGAAAGCAUAAGGAAUGAUCCAAGAAGGACACACUCCUUUACUCAUUGUUUUUGUCUUAAAUGUCUCUAUACAGAUAUUAUAUAUUUUGAAAAUAGGUUUUAAAAAAAUAAUAACUAAAGUUCUACAGUUUAAAUGAAAUCUUUACUAAUAUUGAAAGAGAAAUCUUUUAAUUUCUCUAUUAUUUUUUUCAAAUGUUUUUGAAAAUAUUCAAUGUUUUUCGCACAAGAAAUGACUGAAUCGUAUUGUCAUUUUUGCUAUUCUUUUUUAUUCUUAUUCAAUUCUCCUAAUAAAAGUCUUUUUUUUUUUCUCUUUUCAAUCAUACAGUUACAGAUAUUUUCUCCCCUCUGUCUUCUCGUGGGGACUUAUAUAAGUGGUGACGUAUAUCAUAAUCACAUGAACAUAUUGUUACUUAAACCCUCUCGCUCCGGUGCAAUCCAACAAGAAGUUCUGUUUUUUCCUCUUGUUACACUCCAUUAACGUAACCAUGCUCUCUUUCAAACUUAGUCUCUACCUUCUUAUUGCCUCUGUCUUUUUCUUCCACCUGCUUCCUAGUCCAGUGCUCUGCAACGGUAUAGUUUCUCUAAUCUCUUUGCCUCUCUCCCAAGCACUCCUCUCCCUAGCUACAUACAUGAACAUGUGCAUGCUUGUUUAAUGUUUACAUGAUUUAAUUUAAAUUGCAAUGACACUUUUUGCUAGUGACUCAACCAAGUAAUCUAUAAACAUAGUAAAACACCAACAUGUUAAGCAAGUAGCUACAUUUUUAACAUAGAGUUUAAAUUUUAUACACCUAAAGUGUCAACCUUUUAGAAAUCAUGGUAUGUAUGAUUUGCAAGAUAAUUAUUGCAAAAAUCAACAGACUUAUCAUACAUGAUAAUUUGUGAUAGUGUAAAAUUGUACAUAGACUAUGUUUCUAUUUUCUAAUAUAUUCUCCUUUAAUUUGCAUGCUUGUGUGGUUUCCCUAGACGAGGAGGAUCUACUUCAUGACAUCAACGUAUACAGAAAAGUUUUGAACCUUCCUGUUCUGGAUGAAAGUGGCAAAGCUUCUUGCUUAGCUGAAGAGAUAGCAGAAAAUCUAGAGCACACGAAAUGUGAAGACUUUCGUGACUACUACCCUCUGCCUAGUUACACCUCCAAAAUUCCUAAGUUCCAAAAGAGCAUAAACAAAUGCAAGAUCAACAUCAACACCACAAAAGAUGGGGUCAUCAUGCCUCUCUGUGUGCCCAAGUUGGACCCCGAUGCUUUGUUUUCCAAUUAUACCAAAUCUAAUCGCUUCUCAAAGUAUCUGAAUAAUUCCAAGUAUAAGAUAGCAGGGCUUGGUUCUGAGGACGAUUGGAUGGUUCUUAUUAUCAGCACCAACACUUCUUCUGGAGAUUUUUCCUCUGCAACUUCUCUGCUUGCUGGGGCUUUGAAGGGUCACUACCUCAUGCUGCCAUUCUUCUUGAGCACGCUUAUUGUUUUCUUCAACUAAAUUGAUUGUUCUCUUUUCACCUAUGCUUCAUUCAUUUGGUGGAAUUUUCUUUUCCCUUUUAUUCUUUUUCUUUUUCUUUGCUAUUUGGAACAAUUCUUUUUUCUGUAAUUUUGUGUAUAUGGGAGUGUACUUUGUCAAGUUCUUGAUUCACGAUUUGCAUGUGAUAAGAUCACGAUGCACCUACUUGUAAUUGAUCGUGUAUAUUGUGAUUUGAUUGUUAAUAUGUUUGAAAAAUUCAAGUCUGUGGGUGGUAUGUAUUUAUUUAUCCUGGAUUUUUUUAAUAUAUAAUAUCAAUUUACAUAUUUAAUUUUACACACUUUGUAAUGUUGACCCUUAAUCCUCUUAUGAUCUAAAUUAGUAAAGGAGUCCUCGUGCCUGAUCAAGUCUCGUUUUCUUCUGUAACAUAACACUUGUCUGAAUUGAGGCUAUAUAAUUGUUUGGCUGCUUGUUUUUUCACAGGGACCUAUGGCUUGAGUAAGAAGGAAUUCUUUGGUGAAAAUAUAUUUUCUUGUACAUUCGAUAGGUGUUAAAAUGAUUUUCCACAGAAUAAAAAAAAGGUGUUAAAGAUGUGAAUUGUGAUAGUAAGAUAAAAGGAAUAAAAAGAAAAGUAAACAGAGUGAUAUACAAUGUUAUGUCGUAUAAGUAGAGAAAUAUUAAGAGGUGAAAGAGGGAGGAAGGUACUAUGUAUAAAUAUAUGAAAAUUAUUAUUAUUAUUAUUACAAGUUUUAUUUUAUAGGUACUAAUAUUAAUAUUUAGUGUCUGUAAUUUUCUAAGGUUAAAAUAUAUUUUAAUCUCCAGAAAAAUAAGUAAGUUUUGAUUUAUGGUUUUUGUAAAAAGGAUUUUUUUUAUCCCUCUAAAAUUUAAAAUCAUUGUUUUCGACUCCAGUAAAACGAGUGAAUUUUUGUUUUGGUCCUGUGAAAUAUUUUUUUCCUCAAAAUUUGAAAUGAUUGUUUUUAAUCUCCAAUAUCCAUUUUAAGAUAGAUAAAUGAUAUUUAUUUUAGGGAUAUAAAUUUUGUUAGAAAUAUCACAUAAUACCAUAAAUACUAGUGAGUGUUACUUAGAGUUAGGAUGAUCAUUUGAUCUCCCAUUAAACACAUAAGUAGUUAAUGAGUGUCAUGUAACACAAAUAAAAAAAUGAUAAUUUCAUAUUUUUUAGCAAUGAAAAAGAAACAAGGUUAAUCAUAUAAAGAUUAAAAUAAGAACUCGUUAAUUUUAUAGAAAUUAAAAACAUAUUCAAACUUUUAUUAAAUAUUUUUUUUAAAUAACUAAAACAACUUUAUGUAUGAAUUAUAUAUAUAAUACAAACUUUCUAUACGAGAACUUGUGUUGAAGAGAGAAGUAGAUCAUUGCCAUCUAAAUCAUUUUGAUUUGCAUGAAAAAUGGGUAUGAAAGGUGGACUAAAAGUAAGCCAAGUGUUCAUGUUUUUUAACUUUUAAGUUUAACAUUUGAGAGAUUUUAAAUUGUUAAACCAAGUAUGCCAAUUAUAAUAGAUAUUUGUAUCUUUUAGGUUUAAUACGAGAUACACAAAAUAAAGAUUGAGUCUUUGUAAAUAAUUGAAUUUAUAAUGAUUUAGCUCGUAAAGACAAUCGAGCUUACAAAGAUAAUGGAUAAAAACUAUACUAAUAUAUUGAAAGAAAAAAGAUAUAAGAUUGACUUGAUGAUUAAGAAAGAAUGCAAAAAGUCAUGAAGAAAAGAAAAGUCAUGAAUUUAAAUUUCUCAAUUAAUAUUUUUAAUAAAAUUAAUAAACUAAAAUUUACCGAUAAAUAAAAAAACAUGGGGAAAGAAACACUAAAAUAGUUAAGAUGCCACUAAAACCCACUUAACUCAAGGGACAUAGCUCCUAGCCAAUUGAAUUCUAAAGCUUUCUGAUAGGUGAGUAAGGUUAAAUAAGUACUGUUACACCUACAUAUACACGUAGGAGCAAUGCAACAGGCACCACCCUCUAACAUACAGCCAAAAGCUUUACCAAGACUUAGACACAACAUAAAUAGGCAUGCUAUCCCCAUUAUCAUGCUUAGGUAACACAUAAUAGGAUUUGUUAAGGUCUAUUGAGUCUAUCUUUGACUUCAAGAUGUUUCAAAAGUUGUAUUCUAUAACAUGGAAAAAAAGAGAGUAACAAAUAACUCUUUUAACCAAUCACAAUACAUUACCAUACUGUUGGAGUCUAGUUUAAAAAUUUAUUUCCCAUUAAACUUCUUCAACUUGAUUCAUGUAAUUUUAGAGUUCAUUUUUCCAUACCAUUUAUCAUUUCUCUUUCUAUUCAUUUCAUUUCCACUUUAAAAGUUCAAACUUCAUAUAUCACUAAAUGUAGUAUAAGAUAUGAAUAAAAGUAAAUAACUAAUCAUAAGUGAAAAAAGUAAUGGUUAAAGGUGAGAGAUCAAAUGUCGAGAAACGCUAAAAUACCUGUUAAGAUGCCAAAACCUUCGGAUGAUGAGAUGAAUAUGAAGACUAUGGGAGAGUUGAAACUAUUAAUUAGGGUUGCUUCUAUUGAGGUCAAGAAAGAUGAUAAUACUAUAUAUUUUUUCAUGGACAUUCUCAUAUAAUCUUAUUUAGGACAAUAUUAGAUACUAACAAUGCGUUGAAAUUCAUGUAAGAGACAUGAAUAAAUUUUUAUUUUCACAUCAAUUCGACUAAAGACAUAAAAACUAUGAACAUCAAUUUGUUUUUAAUGUGGGUCUAUUGCGUUAGAAAAUUUGAACUAAACGUGCACUAAAUACGAGUAACUUUGCAAGUAGGGAUUCGUUAGUAAGAAGGUAAAUACUUUUGAAAGUGUAUAAGAAUUCAAGUUUGCAUAACAAAGCAGUCAAGUGUGGUUCUAAUCUUGAAAACAUUGUGAAUUUGUGGAGGUUGUGUGAGAUAAAUAUUGUUGCAAAUUUUUUUUUAUUAGUAUGAAAGUAAAGACAACAAGCAAAAACUAAAUGCGAGGGUACAAAGUUCCUGCUGCAUCCGCUAGCAACAAUAGUCAAACACAGAAUAUAGGUAGUGCAAGAUUUAGCUUCUAAUUUAGCUAAGACAUCAGCGACAAAGUUGCCUUAUUGGAAAGACAGACCAAUUAAGUUGUGGAAGCUCACGAAUGGCAUAAAAAAUGUAUUUAUUUUAAAAAAAAUGUAAAACAAAUUAAUAAAAUGAUAUUUUAUUGUUUUUAAUUUAUAUCUACAAUUUUCUCAAAAUAGAAACACAUUAACUGAAGUUACAUUUGAAAUAAAAACUAAACAAAACAUACCUGGUUAAAGUUUUAUUUAAAAUUAAAAAGAGAAAAUCAUUCAAUACUUCUUAAUCCUCAAAACGUUUUAUAAGUUUCCAGAAAUAGUCCACUACGUAGUGACAUAAAUCCCAAUUGUUUAACUGGGUGUAAUUCUCACAUGAAUUAUACAAUAUACACACAGUGAUGAUAAGUUAAUUAGUUCAUUUGAUCAGGUCAAACAAUAAUUUUGUAAUAAAGUAAAAAGUUUGAGACUUUGAGUUUUUGAACAAACUAUUUAGGCAUUGAAUUUUUCUUCAUUCUAUGAUUAGCAUUAAACAAUCAUCCACACGUGUACAGAACCACAAAUCCACAUCACACGAUAGAUAAAUGUAGUAGUGUCACUCCCAUUACAUUGCAUAAUAAUUAACACUUGACGAUACCAGUUUUUUGCUAACUCAAAAGGCAUAUAAUACGUUAUUGACACCGAACGAAAGAAACGCAGCAGCGUCUGUGAGCUAUGGCGGAGGAGGAGGAAGACGACGAGAGCUUCGGCGAGUUCACGUUCGCGUCGUUUCCGAGUCAACCAACCUCAAACGACACCAAUCCCCUCGACGACGACGAUUGGGGCGACUUCAUGAACCAUUCCAACCGGAUCAACGGACCCUUCGACUCGUUCGGGCUUCCCACGGAUCCCACGAACAAACACGUGAACGACGACAAAGGCGUUGCCGUUCAGGCCGAGGCAGCGAAAAAUCCCAAGGGAGCUAUUCCGCUUUCGAUCUUCGGCGAGGAAGAGGGAGAAGAAGAGGAGAAACCCGCUUCUGCCAAUGUUUUCUCCAACGGCGGCGGUGGUGCGGUGAAAAGGGGAUCCGGUUCGAACGGGUCUGUUGGAAUCAGUGAUUUGAUUUCCAGUUUGUAUAAUCAGCAGCGCCCUCAGGUGGAUUCUCACAACAACGGAUCGGUUUCGGUAUCCAAUGUUGCUGCUCCCAAUCCGACGUACUCGAACGGAAGCAAAUUAAAUUCGGAUGAGGAUGAGGAUGGAUGGGAAUUCAAGUCUGCGGAAUGGGAAACUGGAACCAAGAGCCAGGAUGUUAAGGUAAUAGAGCGAAUUUGUUUAAGGUUGGGGAUUAUAGAACUUAGAGCUGAAGAGAAUGCUGGAAAUGAUAAUCAUGCUUGAUCUUACUUUCCUGAGUUUUGGAAUUGUCGGUGGAUCUUUUUCUGUAGCUUGUUCAAUGGAAACGAGGUUUAGGAAAGCUAUGUACUAUAUGAAUUAUGUGAUUUUUUUUUAAUAGCUUCCACUUGAGAAGCAAGAGCUAGUUGAUUUAAUUGUAUUGAAAUGACAACAAAAAAGGGUAGGAAAAUAAUGCCAGUGGUAUCGAUCAAUUGUUAUAAAUUUUGUGCUGAUGUAGUAACUUUGUGUCUUGAAGUCAUUUUUGGCAAUGUCUGUCAGGAAGAUCUAUGAUUUGAAAUUGAAGUACAUUAAGGGGUUAUUCACUUGGGCGAGAGAUUGAUAAGCACGUGGUUGUCUGUGAAAUUACUUUUGUAAUGAAUUUCGUUUGCCUGAUGAUAUGUAUUCUAUUUUAAAGGCUGAAACACCAAAGCAUGAUAAUGGUGCUCUUGAUGUUGGUACUGUGUUGGAUUCAUCCAAUGGGAUUUUAGACAAAGCUGGCAGAUGGCACGUGGAGUUUGAGUUCAGUCCACAUUCUGCAUCGCAAGAUCAUGUUAACCCACAACCAAGUCCAGAAAGUGAAUCAAAUGACAUUGGAACUGGGUUUGCCAUGUUCAGUCAAAAUUUUGGGGAGUUUAGUUCAGGGUCAGGGCCAAAUCAAAAUUUGGUGAGUUGUUUUUACAUAAUUUCCUCAUUUUGUGUUACAUUGUUCAUUCAGAUUAUUGAGGAAUGUCCAUUAACACAAUCUGAUUGUGGAUUUGUGGUAUUAGGAAGUACUGAAGAAGGCUGACAUUUAUCCCACUAAUAUGGAAUUACUGAAAUUUGAAGGUGCAACUCCCCAUGGUACUAUUGAUUCAUCUCUCACAUCAGAAUCUAAUCAACCUGAUGGAUGGAACUUUGGAUUUAAUUUCAAUUCUAGUUCUGUGGGUGAAGACAAUCAUAGUUCAGAUUCAUAUUUCAAAACCAAAAACAAUCAGGAUGAUAACAACAGAAACAAUGCUUCCCCAACUAAUAUAAAUGUUGAUUCACAUGUCAAUUUCUUUGAAUCAGAGAGUGAUGUUACAAAACAUGAGGUACUGAAUCAAUUUGAUAUUAUACUUCAUAUAUCAUGUGGAAUUGUAUAGGUUUAAUUUCUUAAAAAAGGAUAUUCAAUCUUGAGUUCUUACUUUGGUUUUAGUGACCCAUGAAAAAAUUUCAUGAGUUUGUCAUAUGACACAUUGUUUUGUUUACCACUCAACUAAGUCUUCAUACUUUUUAAACAUGUUGUUACUAUUCUUUCUAUUUCCAGAAGCCCCUAACAAGCUCAGAGAAUCGUAGGGAAGCCAUGCCUCUGUCAAUUUUUGGUGAUGAGACACCAGAUACUGAUAAACAUCCUGUGACUCAAGAUUUAUCUCCCUAUACACCAACAUCCCCAAUAAGGAACAGCUUCAACAGCCCUGGUUCCAACUUUUCUAUCAAUGACAUAUGGAAUUUAUAUAAUCAAGCUGAAAACCAAAGUUCUCCUAAUAUGACACCAAAAGCAAGUGAAAAUCAGAUUCAUGCCUCCCCUGAAGUAUUGGGCUCCAGUUUGGUUACCAGUAAUGAUAAUUUAGAUGAUGACUUCUGGGACUAUAAGGAUGCUGCAACUGAAACAAGAUUUACCAAUGAAUCUGCACAGAAAACUUCUUCACCACAAGUCAAUGAGAAUGUGUUGCAGUCUUCCCCAACAUUUUUAAAUUCUGAUUUGACCAACGGUGAUGAUGAUUUUGUGGAUGAUUCAUGGGUGUUUAAGGAUGCUAUCUCUGGAACAAUAAGUCAAGAUCACACACCUUCUCUCGAUCACAGAGAUUUACCACAGUUAUCAACAAAACUAGAGCAGGUUGAUUAUGCAGAGUUUUAUAGCAAAGUGAAGGAUGAAUUGUGCAAUUAUGUUCUGUUCCAUCUUCAGAAUCUCAAGGUAGCUAACCUUUGUUGGUGUUUCUUCGUUAGAUAAUGCUAAUACUUACUGGCACUGAAAUUAUUCAUAAAUUUAUAUUCUUAGAAAACUCAAAAUGUUGCUGCUCUUUCGGGUGAAGAUGCCAAAGCAAAAGCUCUUCUGGAGGAAAUUCAGGUCAGUAUAUAAACUAUUUUUUUGUCUAUUUGCUAUCUAAUAUUGUUGUUUUGUGCUUUUGGAUACUUAUUAUUUCCUUACAAUAGUAAAUGUAAAACCCUGGGAAGGGGAUUCUCUCCAUGGGGGUAAUGGGAGAAUCUGGCGGUAGGUCUUUCAGGAUUUGGCACAAAGUUAGCAGAACCCCAGAUCUAAUGGCCUGCUUGUGACUUGUGUUCAUUGGGUCAAAGGCCCCCCAUCAAACAUGAUUGAGUUGAGCUAUUAGCAGUAUGUUAUUGUGAAUUUGGUUUUCCUCUGCUUGUGUAUUUGUUUUUUUUUUUUUUUGCUCAGCAAAAAUAGGUAAUUAGAUUAUAUGCAAAGUACCAGAGGUACUGAAAAUACAAACAAUAGAGAUAUACACAGCUGGUAUCAAUACUAUCCUAGAGGUUAAUAUUAGAUACCAUCUGAACCCAAGGCCAGGAUUACAGCAGAGAAUCCUAGCCAGUACCCUUCUUUCCUAUUUACCCAUAUACAUCCCCCAUCUGAGAGGACCACUGGUUGUAAUGCAUAGUGAAGUCUUUCCUAUUUGUGUAUGGCUAUUAUUUCCUUGUUAUUAAUCAAAUGCACAAGCUAUUAAUAGUUUCAGUAUUGUUUCUACUCUUCUUUUCUUUUACAGGAAUUCUCCAAGAUACUGCAUCAGGAUAAUAUGAGCAUCCCCAAUGAAUAUCUCUCUGAGGAUUAUUGCCCAAGAAAUGUCUGCUUUAAUGAACUUCUUGAAGUUUUGAAGGAACCUAAGUUCCAACCUUUUGAGUCAGAAUACCAACUAGCAUCAAGGUUGUUGAUGGUAUGCAUUUCUUGAAAAUAUUGAGUGUUGUAUUUUUCAAGUUUUAUUCUUUUGCAUGUGCAAAUAGUACUUUAACUACUGGAGGAUUUUGAUUGUUUCAAACAGAAUAUAUGAUUGCAUAACUGAUUUAGGAAUUUUUUGUCAGUAGUGAUGUAUUGAUAUUUGUCCUAAUUUUCCUUGAGAUUAAUCUGAUGGAUAAUAGUUAUGUUUUCUUGUUUUAUUUAUUGAUAUCCUUCUUUUUUUACCUGACCAUUCAGCUUGACAACACAUGUACAUUUGUUUUUCAAUAGGCCGAGAAGGAUAUUAAAUGUGUUAUGGAACUUUUGAAAGAUACAGUAUCAACAUUAAGAAUUCUCAAGCUGGGAUCAACAGAAGAACAAUCUAAUUAUCUUACCAUAUGGUCCAAAAUAGCCUUUGUUUGUUCUCAAGAGCUGAAACAUGGUGCUUAUGUUUGGAAGCAAGCUGUACUACAGAAUACCCAUGACCAGAUAUUAUCUAGCCCGAAAGGUAAGCUACAUGAUUAUGUCAUGCCUAAUGUAUAUGCUGCUGAUGUGGAUGAACUUAAGCAGUCUGAAAUAACCUCUUCCUUUUCUGGCAUAGGUGUUCAGUUUAUCCUUGCACUCGGAGAAAUUUAUAGAGUGGCAGAAAUUAUUGGAACUUCAGCCAAACUUCACAAACCUUGGAUGUUAUCAGGUGCCACAGAUCACAAAAGUUUGUGUGCCCUUUUGAACGAAUGUUAUGGCAUAUGGUUGGCUUCAGGACUUGAAGAAGCUAUUUUGAGUAUAUCAAAUUGGAAUAAUUUUGAGCCAGAUGGCAUUUCAAGGGAAUUAGUUGAAUCCAUCAAGUAUAUUCACGAGCUUGAUGAACAUGCACUUCAGAGCUUUGUCAUCUCUGGAGAACAAACUACUUGCCAGUUGUCAGCCUUGCCAGCUGGUUUCAUACCAGGUAUGUGCACUAUAAUCUUGACUGUCUUCAAAUGUAAGCGAUAAAAUUUGAUUUAAAAUUAAUUUUUGAUAGAAUUUUUUCCUUACUAUUUGUCACUAAUAAAGGUGUCCAAAAUAAAUACCCUUCAUUAGUGAUUAGGAAAAAGAAAAUCUUUUGAAAUGUGAAAAUUUCUUAGCUCCUUCAUUUCAUGUUAGCUAAACAGAUAUAAUAGUAGUUGAGCAGUUGAACUCUCACUCUCUGAUGAUGUUAUCUUGGAGUGGACGUGCAGCACUAAACUACUGAAAACACCUCACAUAACCAAAAAGAAGUGAAACAAAAUAGGAGCAGGUGCUGCAGGAUCUAUGUUGGAAAGAGUCUUUCUGCAUUAUGUUAUAGUAGUUGAUAUCUUUUUAACUCAAAUUUACAUUUGCAUUAGUAUUUGUUUGGAUCAAUAGCUAUAAGCUAUGCUUUGAUUGAUUUCGUUAAAUGAUGUGGGAAUAGGUAUGGUGUUUUGCAUUUAAAAAUGAAAAGUGCAAAUCUCAACUACAUACCAGUUUGGCCUUGUAAUUUAUUUUCCACGUGUUUUUUGUGGAUCAGGAUUAAAUUUGGUUGCAUGGAAUGGGAAGCAUUACAUCGUCAAGCUAGCAAACUUGUGGGUCAAUCUAAUAAGCUCAGAUCCACCCAAGUGAAACCUGCCAAUUCAAUUAUGUCUCUUACAACGAGUAGACUCUUCCUUUCGCUUUGUCAUGGUGUGUUGUUGAGUUCUUUUCUCUUUAAGAAAAAUCAGCGUGAGAUUGUGGCGGGAUCCAUUGUUUUGUUAGUGGGGUGAGGCCUUUGGCUCACUGGCGGCAGUUGUAGUGAAAGGAGAUUGUGUAUCGGGCAAAGUCACCAAUUAAGUUCAUUCUUUCUUCAAUAGGUUACAAUUCUUUCGGCGGAAGCUUUAGAGCAAUAGCCGCAUGUUACAGGUGUAAGAUGUAUUACUAGUGUUAACGAAGAACUAUAGUACUACAGAGAGUAUAAUUCUGGAUACGAUCCAGUUCUGCAGAGGGAACGAUAUUGCGUAGUAAUCAAAUGAUUCUGGUGUUGUAAAGUAACUGGGAUUCUUCCCUUAACAAUUUUACACAAUAGUUUUUUUUUGGGCAUGAUUUAAAUUAUGAAUACUAUUAUUUUAAAUUUGAAAACGUAUUUCCCAAGUCAGCUCAAUUGGAAAGGCAACCGUAGCAAAAUAUAAAGUUGCAUUAUUGCUCCUCAGCAAGGGCCACAAUACUUGUAGGUAAGGUUAUCAAAAUUAUCAAAAUUGAGAGUUUACUUAAACUCAUGAAAAUUUCAUAAAAAUGAUUCAUAUAUUCAAUUCGGAGACGCGCAAGAAUUUAUUUCAUAUAAAAAUAAUAAUAAAAUAUUUAUAAAUAACAUAUCCAUUAAAUAUUUCAAUAAUAUAAUAAAGUAAAAUAGAUAAUAAUAAAUUUCACAAUACUUAAAUAAUCAAGUCUAGUAAUGCAUCACUAUUAGAUAAUAACUUGUAGAUGUUAUAGUAGUGAUAAAUCAUUUCCAUCAAGGGUUUGAUGUUAUUAAAGGUGAAUUUUUUUUAUUUGAAAAUAACACAUUAAAUGAAGGUAUGUUGAACAUUAAAUAAAUAAAAAAUAAUUCAAAAUGACUUAUAUUUUGAUUUAAUUUUUUUAACUUGCUGAUUCGUUGAUUCGGCAAUAAAUUCGAGAGUCUACCAAAUUUAUUUAGAGUUUAUAGAGUCUAACUAGAGUUUAUUAAAAAGAAAGUUUACAAGAAUAAUGAACUCGUAAGAGUUAACGAAUUAACAAAUAUAUCCAAAAUAAUUUCUUUGAGACUAAGAAAUUUAAAUAAAAAAGUCUGACCCUUGCCAUAGAACUUGUCAAAAACCAUCAAUAAGAUGGCGGUUAUAGUGAAGAAAGCGACAGAACUAACUAAACAAUGUUACCCAAAUAAGUAGGAAUUCUAUUUUUAGUGAGCAUUCAUACCAAGUGAAUUUGAUAUUGUCGUGUAUACGUUCCUUCAUAGACACUUGAAGGAAGGAUUAAAAACUAAAAAGUGAACCUACAUAUUAGAAGCAUGUGAACUGUUCACUACAUUUGGUCUCUCGAAGAUGUAAUGAAAACAAAAACGAUGAAAUGAAAAUGAAAAAUGACAGGACAGAAAUGUUAACAAUUGAUUGUGACUAUUUUUUUUAGAAACAAACGACGAAAAUAAGAAUAAAAAUAUAUAGAUAGGUAUUCAUAGUUGAGUUGAUUAGAUAACUUUUUGUUUCACAAAAUUUCAAAUUAUGUAAGAUUUUUUAAUUUGAAUUAUUAUAAAUUUGUAUUAUUAAUUUAAAUUUUCAAAUCAUGAAUAUCAUAUCUGUCAUGAUUAUUCUAAUCAAUAUAAUUAUGCAUUUUUAUAAAUUAGAAAUGAAAAAUAUUUACAUUUUAGUGAGGCAAAAUUAUAUUUAUAUUAUGAAAUCAAAAUAUAUAAUUGUAUUAUUAAUUAGAACAUUCAAAUUAUAAAAUAUAUACCCGUCAUAAUUUUCUUAAUGAAAAUAAUUACACAUUUAUGAAUUAAGAAAAACUAUUUACAUUACAUCUUUGACUAAAAAAGAAUAAUAUUUUAUAUGAAUCAAAGGAUCUUAGCCAAAAGUUAAGGAUUGAGAUUCAUUAAAUGGAUUAACCUCUUUUUUAUACGUAUGAACCAAAAUCGAAUCUUAAUCAUAUUAUUUAUCAAAUCAUGUCACAUUAUGUUAAAUUUUUUUUAAAAAAAAUAGUUUAAUCAUAAAAUUCUUUUUGAUUUUUAUUUUCUGGGCAGGUGAAGAAAACAAAUAAAAACCCUCUUCCGACUUCCCUCAUUCUUAGAUUCAGUCGUUGCACAAGUGAGGGAGGUUGAAGGCGGCGUGAGAAGCAUGUUGGACAUCAACCUAUUCAGAGAGGAGAAGGGCCACAACCCUGAAUUCAUCCGCGAAUCCCAGCGCCGUCGUUUCGCCAGCGUCGAAGUCGUCGACGAGGUCAUCAAUCUCGACAAAGAAUGGCGAAAGCGUACUCUCUCUCUCUCUCUCUCUCUCUAACAAUGUCACCAAUCCAAUCUCGCACCAAUGCUAUCUAUUAUUAUGCAUGCCUUUUCAGGUCAAUUCGAGUUGGAGAAUCUCCGCAAAGAAUUUAACAAGAUCAACAAGGAAGUCUCCAAACUCAAGCGUGUGAGUAUCUUCAUUUCCGUUAUUCUAUUUUUUUUUCUCGUCUAAUACAGAUGCUAAUUCUGAAUGAAUUCAUUUGAACUUUGUUCUGCGCGUUAGGCUGGCGAGGAUGCAACUAAGUUCAUCAGUGAAUCAGAGGAAACCAAGAAAUCGAUAGGGGAGAAAGAGGUUGAAGUUCGGGAAACUCUGAAUCUCUUGAAUUCCAAGUUGGAAACUAUUGGAAACCUCGUCCACGAUUCCGUUCCAAUUAGCCAGGAUGAGGUUUGUUUCGUUUUUUCUUUUUAUGUGUGUUGUUUUAUUUCUGCUAAUUCUCAAUGCUUGUCUGGAAAUUCAUGGGGUCUUCCAUGCUUUAGGCCAACAAUGUUGUCGUUAGAUCGUGGGGAGAGAAGAGAGUGGAGCCUAAGCUGAAGAAUCAUGUGGAUCUAGUUGAGCUUCUCGGGAUAGCAGAUACAAAGAAAGGUUUGAAUUUGUUCAUCUAGCGUUCGAGUGAUGAUUUAUUUAUUAAUUUUCGUGGGGUGAAGAGCCUUUGGAUGACUUUUAAUUUUGGAAUCUUGUGUUGUGAUGCCAUUUUCUGCCGAUUUUUCACCUUAGUUUACUUCCUGAACCAUUUCAUUUUGUAUGGUUGGCUUAGCUAUUGCACUAGUUCAUGUUUUGCAUAGUGUCUCUCUGACACAAUAUUGAUUGCAAAAUGUAUUGAGUAUUUUGAUUUGUAAUGUCAUUUCACUUGUGGUAAAAAAAGCUAAUAUCACAGAAUUCAAUUGAGCACUGCUGUAUUUCUAUCGUGCCAGCCAAUGCUUUCCAUAGUUUAUGCAUUUUUGCUCCUAUCUUCUCUACAUGUACAUCCUAAUCUUUUGUCAAGUUGCUUGAUACAUAAUAGGAGCUGAUGUAGCUGGAGGUAGAGGUUUCUAUCUCAAAGGAGAUGGUGUUCGUCUUAAUCAAGCUCUAAUAAACUUUGGGCUUGAUUUUUUGGAAAAAAGGGAGUAUACUUUAUUGCAUACUCCUUUCUUCAUGAGAAAAGAUAUAAUGUCAAAGUGUGCUCAACUAGCCCAAUUUGAUGAAGAACUUUAUAAGGUAAAAUUGUGAAGUAGAUUCCAUUAUCUGCCUGUCCUCAUAUACAAUUUGCGAUUUUUAAGACCUUGAUGAUGCUUUUGUAUGUAUUUGUAUUUAAAUUUAUAUUCUUAUGACAAAUAAAUAUAUGCAUAUGUGUUUUUGCUGACUAAUAUCCAUAAUCUUUUAGUGCAUAACUAGCAACAGCCUUUUUGUGUUGGUAUCAUUUAAAGUUAUUAGUGCAUUGGUUGGUGUUUGGUUUGUUUUCUUCUUUCCAUUUCAGUUGAAAUGUUUUAAUUUAUAACAACAAAAAUGCCACCUUGUUUUUAUUCUAUUUUCAUAUUAAUAGUUUUUUUGAAGAAAAAUGGAGAAAACAAGACCAUUUUCUCCAUAAAACAUUGAAAACAAAGCUCAGUAAAAAGUAUGCAGUGUUUUUGUAAUUGUUAUUAUGAUAGGUAAAUAAUAAUAGACGACAAAACCAAUACCACCUUAACCAUUUUCUGGUUUAUCUAAGAAGUUAUUAUGCUAGGUAACUGGUGAAGGAGAUGACAAAUAUCUGAUUGCAACAGCUGAGCAGCCACUCUGUGCAUAUCAUUUAGAUGAUUGGAUCCACCCUACCCAGCUACCAUUAAGGUAAUAUGAUUUUUUUUUGUCACCUGUUAACAUUGGAGCUUGGAAGACUAUGUUGCCAUUAACUUUGGAAAUAUGUUUUCUGCAGAUAUGCUGGAUAUUCAUCAUGCUUUCGUAAAGAAGCUGGAUCUCAUGGUCGAGACACUCUAGGAAUAUUCCGAGUCCACCAAUUUGAGAAAGUGGAGCAGUUUUGCCUCACUAGCCCAAAUGACAAUGAUUCAUGGGACAUGCAUGAGGAAAUGCUGAAGAACUCUGAAGAUUUCUACAAAGCGGUAUGAUACAGCCACAGUGCCCCUCAUUAAGCGACUAAUGUUUAAGGCCACUCUGGAUGAGUUUAAAUUUCAAAUAAAUAAUAAAUAUAAAUAAAUAAUAUACAAUUUAGAAACAGUUACUGAAUCCCAGGGUACUAAUAAUUAUUGGGGAUAAUCAUGUGUUCUUUGACAUGCCGAACAUAUCUAACUAUGGGAAAGUUUAGUGCUUCCCUUUUUUUUCUUUAUAAAUUUUUUAUAUCUACACUUCAUUGUACUUGUGAUGUCUUAAAGAUACCACAUUCUAUUUUUGGUGGAUAUCAUUGCGUUUAGAUUGAUGUAUUGGUUGGUCUAACCUAAAUUGACAUCUUUCUUUUCCCAAGUUUAUUUGUUUCUCGUGUGAUUAAAUUUUAUUUACUGCAGUUAAACCUUCCCUAUCAAGUUGUUUCCAUUGUAUCUGGUGCUUUGAAUGAUGCUGCAGCAAAGAAGUAUGAUCUAGAAGCAUGGUUUCCAGCCUCUCAAGCUUACAGAGAGCUAGUGUCCUGUUCAAACUGUACAGACUAUCAGGCCAGAAGAUUAGAAAUUCGAUAUGGUCAGAAAAAGGUUAGUAAUGCCUAAUUUCAUCAUGUUGAUGGCUUCAAUAAGCAUUAUUCUUAACUUAAUGAAAAUUUUUAUUUCCAUCUUUAAAAAUGAAACCUUGCCUCAUGUAAAAAUCUCUUAAUCUGCAUUUAUGAAAUCCAUUCUGUUUUGAAAUUUCUAAUUUUUUACCUUUUUCACGAGUUUAGUCUUUCAUUGAAAUUUUAGUAGGAAGACAAGUAAAUUUAUGUUUUGAGAAUAAUCACAAGUGAUGGUGGGGCUUACUUGUGUUAAGAGCCUAAGAUGUUCCAUAAUUAAACUUUUAAUAGCUCAAAGUGUGUUGUUGGGAUUUUGCCGUGAGUAAUAUUUUAUUCUGGCUUCAACUAACUUUGCAUGUUUUUUAACUUUCACAGAGCAAUGAGCAAAUGAAGCAAUAUGUUCACUUGUUGAACUCUACUCUAACGGCUACUGAGAGGACCAUUUGCUGCAUACUAGAGAACAACCAGAAGGAAGAUGGGGUAGAGAUACCAGAAGCCCUCAGGCCAUUCAUGGGUGGAAAGACUUUCCUACCUUUCAAGAACCAACCAUCUAAUGAAGCCAAAGGGAAGAAAUCGAAGGCCUAAUUGCAUUUUAAGUCAGUGAUAUUUAUGAAGAGUUUGUUCAGAGUUGUAGGUUAUGAUGACCCCGAUAUUAUCCACCACACACUGUUUCCCUUUCUCACUAAAUAGUAAAAUGAUUUUUAGGAGCACGCACCAUUUUUGGUCAAAGUACACAGCAUGACAUUUUCUGUAAUUCAUUACUCUAAAAAAUUUGUGCUUUUUUAAUUGCAUUUUGGUGCUUUUAUCCAUUGCGAAAUGAUUAACAAUAUAGAUCAGAUGUCCUAGUUUUGCUUGAAAGGAUGAAACACGUCAAGAUGUUUUAUUUUUGUUGCUUACUAAAGUCUGGUUAUUUUGAAUAGAGCUUAUUUGGUUGGAUAUAAAUAUUUUUUUUCCUUCCUAGGGGUUACGGGAAUAAUUUGAUCACCAUAGCAGAAUCCCGUGAAAUAUGAAUUGCUUGUUCAAUUUGAGAGCAAUACAAGUGCAAGGAAAUUCUGGGAUAUGGGAUUAGAAUUCUGAAGUCUGUAUUGGUUUGUCUUGCAGGGCAUUGAAACACGUUCAAUUUAAUCGAGCUGCUCAUAUGCUAAAUUCAAUUACGAAUUUCAUUGGAAAGGGGAAUGCGUUCUGGAAAAUAGGAACUAGAGUAUUCAACCAAGUUUUGUAGUGGCUGUGGGGGUUUCUAUUGCAAGCCAAUCUUCUGGCUGAUUCCUUACAGGGCCCCUUACAGUGUUAGGUUUUACGCUGUGGGUUGACUUGCAUGUUUCUGAAUCUCUAUUAUUAUCAUUGUUCGACGGUCAUAGCAAAUAUUUUAAGAAUUUUUUUUUUCAGAACUUCCUAUGGUUCUUUUUUUAAUUCAUGUGUACCCUUUCGCUCUGAUCUUUGAUAUCCACGGCAUUUCGAACUUCCAAUCACUAAUGAGCUUUUUUCUCUAAUCAACUGAAUUCUAUUUUUUAAAAAGCGUUCAAUUGUUAAGGUCAUGUUAUGUAAAUCUAACAGCGCACACAGUCUUCUGAAGAAGUGGGGAGCCUGAGGAG